AGGUGUAGCGGUGAAAUGCGUAGAGAUCUGGAAGGAAAUACCGGUGGCGAAGGCGGCCCCCCUGGACGAAAGACUGACGCUCAGGUGCGAAAGCGUGGGGAGCAAACAGGAUUAGAUACCCCUGGUAGUCCACGCCGUAAAACGAUGUCGACUUGGAGGUUGUGCCCUUGAGGCGUGGCUUCCGGAGCUAACGCGUUAAGUCGACCGCCUGGGGAGUACGGCCGCAAAGGUUAAAACUCAAAUGAAUUGACGGGGGCCCGCACAAGCGGUGGAGCAUGUGGUUUAAUUCGAUGCAACGCGAAGAACCUUACCUGGUCUUGACAUCCACGGAAGUUUUCAGAGAUGAGAAUGUGCCUUCGGGAACCGUGAGACAGGUGCUGCAUGGCUGUCGUCAGCUCGUGUUGUGAAAUGUUGGGUUAAGUCCCGCAACGAGCGCAACCCUUAUCCUUUGUUGCCAGCGGUCCGGCCGGGAACUCAAAGGAGACUGCCAGUGAUAAACUGGAGGAAGGUGGGGAUGACGUCAAGUCAUCAUGGCCCUUACGACCAGGGCUACACACGUGCUACAAUGGCGCAUACAAAGAGAAGCGACCUCGCGAGAGCAAGCGGACCUCAUAAAGUGCGUCGUAGUCCGGAUUGGAGUCUGCAACUCGACUCCAUGAAGUCGGAAUCGCUUGUAAUCGUGGAUCAGAAUGCCACGGUGAAUACGUUCCCCUUCCUUUUCACACCGCCCGUCACACCAUGG
RNAcentral lists this ribosomal RNA (742 nucleotides) under Escherichia albertii. RNAcentral's name for it is "bacterial SSU rRNA". It matches the Rfam family "Bacterial small subunit ribosomal RNA", at positions 671 to 1407 of the family's 1533-position model. Lineage: Bacteria; Pseudomonadati; Pseudomonadota; Gammaproteobacteria; Enterobacterales; Enterobacteriaceae. The record is from RNAcentral.